GCAACCUUUUUAGAGCCCUUGUUGCUAAAAAAUUGUUCUAUAGAAUAAUGUAACGAAAUGCCUAUAAAUUAGAGCACUCUCUCUCUCCUUACAAGUCGAUUAUACAAUAAACUCAAGGGGGAGAGAGGGUUGUGCCAUUGGCGAAAUGCAAAUUGAGGCCUCAGCAUAUAUAGCUGAAAAUGCAAACAUCAGUUACUUUCAUGCAAGACUUUUACACAGUUUACGAAUAUAAAAUAAACAUCAAAUAUGUUUUUCAAACCCAGUGAAC
RNAcentral lists this long non-coding RNA (268 nucleotides) under Olea europaea (common olive). RNAcentral's name for it is "long non-coding RNA (OEUR_LNC013075)". Lineage: Eukaryota; Viridiplantae; Streptophyta; Magnoliopsida; Lamiales; Oleaceae. The record is from RNAcentral.